Ceratitis capitata (Mediterranean fruit fly) is the source of this 987-nucleotide long non-coding RNA. RefSeq lists it as uncharacterized. The transcript has 3 exons. The record is from RefSeq and is a predicted model, not a curated record. Lineage: Eukaryota; Metazoa; Arthropoda; Insecta; Diptera; Tephritidae.
UAAUACACCUGUUUGUGACGCUCUCGGCAGGCUCUCGUCGAACCGAGCUUACAUUGUAAGUGGCGCUCAGUGUGCAAUCUAAUCACUUUGGUGAGACGGCAUUAGGUCGUUUUGGUUGAUGGCGCCAAGUUUGGUGAGCCCGGAAUUGCUCUCGUCGCUAUUCGCAAUUCUCUACACAGUUCGCCGUUAGCUGCGCAAAUUUGGUAUUUUCAAGUUAAUAUCGCACUCGUCGAGACUUAUCAACGGCAGUAAACAAUUGUCAGUCAGCACUAGUGCAAUGUUCUACGCUUGCCAGUGCCCAAAUCGAAUUAUUCGAAUGUUAACUUGGUUUUGAAAGUAAAAUUAAUCGAACUUUUGUUGUUUACCGUCAUGCGUGUGGCAGUGUGCAUUGCUUUUAAUUACAGAAAAUAUUUGUAAAAUUUUCGAAUGAGUGGCGGUUAAAAAUAACUUGUUCAAACAUAUCAUUCGCUGCAGUGGUGACUGAAAUAAACUUCUCUGAGAUUUAAGAGUGUUUAAAUUCAAUGCAAAUAUAUGUUUAUUCAUUUGUUCGAAAAAUAAAAAAAAAUUCUCUCUUCUUCACUGAAGAUUAACAUGCGUCUUAAACAAAUUUUGACCAACAACAAUGUAAAUAUUUACCUAGCAAUUAACUAGGCCAAAAGUUUGCACUAAAUAAGUAAAUGAAGGAAAUGAGCAAUAAUUAUGAAUUGAAAGUGAAAAAUACAUAUAUAUUUUACAAAAAAAGCAAUGAGCUUGCCAAAUUACUACAGGCUGAGUGAAAAAUACAAUGACUGAAAAUCGAAAAAAAAUUUACAAUGAAAAUUUUUUAAUUUGAAAUUAAAUGUAAAUACAUGAAAAAACAAUAUGAACCAAAAAAAUUGUUAAAUGGAGUUUAAAAAUUAUAAGUGUAAAUAAAAAAUAAAAACAAAUAAAAAAUUGGGGGAUUACACAAAACAACCACGCUGUCAUCGUCAUAGACAGCUAAAAAUA